AAAUCCACAUGAGAGAGAAUUGUAAAAAUCCCUUGACUAGGUUGGCCAAAAAAUUUUUUUAAAAAAUCACAUUUGCUAAUUCCCACAUAGUGAGUUUUGCACCAUCUUCACCGUGGUCUCUCAGCUCCACCAAUAAGCUGCCUGCUUCUGCCUUUUGCAGCUCAUCCUUCUUUGGGAAACUGGGGAAAGAGAACCUGGAGUCAGUGGAAUUACAGCAGGAAGGGAUAAGUCUCAUGAUUCGUCCACUAACCAAAGGCUUUGUAAACAGAGGAUAAUGUUACUGAAUGGUCUGGCUAACCCUGCAGUUAGAAACAAUCAGGUCUAUGGGUGGUAAAUUGACAGAGGCUCUGCUGCUGAUCAUGAAUAGCAGCUGUUGAAAGGUAAUGUGCUUCUAUUUCAUGCCUCUGGAAGUACAGAAAACAAUGAUCUGGUUAAAGGAAAGUUGCCAUUUCUCAGAGCCCCAAUUUCUAUUGUGUGUGACAGAAGGUUUGAAUGUGUAGCAGGUAGUUUGGUAAAGCUAGCUAUUUUAUGUGUGUACAGGCUCCUGCCCACCUCCAGCAGAGGUUUCAAUCACAUACUAUGGCAACUUACCAAUGUCAACAAAUUAGUCCAUUCCUCCCCAUAGUCAGUCUCUGACGGAAUGUUAGAAUGAGGCAGAGAACUGGGAAAGUAUCACAGUAGGAAUACAUUAAAAAGUGGAUUAAUCAGAGCUGGGGUGCAGACAGAGCUGUUCUACAGCUGGUGAAGUGACAGGGACACACUCCCACUAGUGCUGGCUCUGAAAUAACAGCAGAAGCAGAUGGA
Non-coding RNA from Chelonoidis abingdonii (Abingdon island giant tortoise), 804 nucleotides. The record is from RefSeq and is a predicted model, not a curated record. NCBI's taxonomy places the organism in Eukaryota, Metazoa, Chordata, Testudines, Testudinidae.